UUGCUUCAGCAGCACAUAUACUAAAAUUGGAACGAUACAGAGAAGAUUAACAUGGCCCCUGCGCAAGGAUGACAUGCAAACUCGUGAAGCAUUCCAUAUUUUU
This 103-nucleotide small nuclear RNA is filed under the name Cervus elaphus hippelaphus. Lineage: Eukaryota; Metazoa; Chordata; Mammalia; Artiodactyla; Cervidae. RNAcentral also lists the same sequence under 1 other name. The record is from RNAcentral.